Small nuclear RNA from Dasypus novemcinctus (nine-banded armadillo), 192 nucleotides. Its record names the gene U2. It matches the Rfam family "U2 spliceosomal RNA". Rfam says of the family: U2 is a small nuclear RNA (snRNA) component of the spliceosome (involved in pre-mRNA splicing). Complementary binding between U2 snRNA (in an area lying towards the 5' end but 3' to hairpin I) and the branchpoint sequence (BPS) of the intron results the bulging out of an unpaired adenosine, on the BPS, which initiates a nucleophilic attack at the intronic 5' splice site, thus starting the first of two transesterification reactions that mediate splicing. Lineage: Eukaryota; Metazoa; Chordata; Mammalia; Cingulata; Dasypodidae. The record is from Ensembl.
AUUGCUUCUCGGCCUUUUGGCUAAGAUCAGCUGAUAAGACCUGUUCUUAUCAGUUUAAUAUCUGAAAUGUCCUCUAUCCAAGGACAAUAUAUUAAAUGGAUAUUUGGAGCUGGGACAUGGAAUAGGGGCUUGUUCUGUCCAUUCCAUGCAUUGACCUGGUAUUGCAGUAUCUCCAGGGAUGGUGCACCAAAA